This 57-nucleotide transfer RNA is filed under the name Loxodonta africana (African savanna elephant). It matches the Rfam family "tRNA", at positions 9 to 63 of the family's 71-position model. From Rfam's summary of the family: Transfer RNA (tRNA) molecules are approximately 80 nucleotides in length. Their secondary structure includes four short double-helical elements and three loops (D, anti-codon, and T loops). Lineage: Eukaryota; Metazoa; Chordata; Mammalia; Proboscidea; Elephantidae. The record is from Rfam by way of RNAcentral.
AGUACAGUGGUUAAAGCUUUUGGCUGCUAACCAAAAGGUCAGUGGUUCAAACCCACU